CCUGGGGUUCCCCCAGCACCACCCAGUGCAAGGCAUGGGACAAGGUACGCGAGUAGCACCUAUGACUACCACAAAACACUGAGGGACCUCUCACCCGUGGAACAGCAAAUCUACUUGGUAUGUGCCAGUGCUGAGCUCCAGACAGACUGCUUCAGGCUGUGGCCAGCUGGGCCUUGAAAACCUCCAAGAACAUUCUACAGUGUUUCUCGGCUACCUGCUUUACUGUCUCAAUGAUGGAAGCGGAAGAAAAAAAAAAAAACCAACCCUACCACAUACCCAAGCAAAACCAGCUAUUAAAGUGACCUGUAUGCCUGCCAGGACACAUGGUUUCAUAAUUGUUUGUCAAGAGACAGGAAGAAAUGUAUUUAUAUAAUUACAGAAGUAAUUACAAAUCCUGCACAAUUGACUAAACAAGAGUUUAAACUAUGACUUCCACUAGCAGAAAUAAAACUCAUUUCCUUCUCAAAGUCAGGAAACCUCCCUUCUUAGGAGGAAUAUCAAAAGAGAUGACCAUCUAAUGAAAUCUGCUACAGACUAAAGGUAGGCAGGUGCCUUUGUUUAUUUAUUUAUUUUGGUAUUUUAAGUUUUUCCCUACUCUGCAUUUUAAUGGAACCUGUAUUUCUGUCAUCCCCCAAAUAAUUUCCAUUUUUGUUCUGGUGGGCAACUACGCAUGUUAUGUGCCAGAAACAAGACUGUGUGGCUUUCCAGGUAUCAUGAUCAUAGAUCCAGCAGAUCAUAGCCUUCCAUACAUACACAUGUUAAUUUAACAAGCUAGCACAAAGCAGUAACUAUGAUGGUGUAAGUAGCUGGUUAAAUGAAAUACUCUGUGCCUAAAGCACUGCAAAGUUUUACAUGGAUUUUUUUCUAUUUAGUAUGUAUUUCCUGCUACUUUGGUAGACAGCAUAAAGCUCAUGCAAUUACUAAUUAAAUUCUUACAAAAAUAAUAAAACCAUGUCCUUAAGGAUGCAAUGUAAACACUGCAAACUACAUCACCAGUGACAUCUUAUUUCUAGACCAGCUCAGAGGAAGAAAAUCAUUCCCUAAACAGCCAUGUCAAAUCAAAGCAGUAUUCAACACAAAACAUUCCCCUGGCAGGUAACCGAAACAGGCUAAGUUUCUUAGCACAGCUCAAGUUUCUUAGGCGUAUUUAACCCCAGAGUGAUGGGUUUUAAAUUCAGUGGCCCACCUCCGCUUACAUUUUCACUACUGAAAUCCGAAGUCUGCAAUAAUUUGUGUUCAUUUGUCUCUCUGAGAACAUAUUUAGCUCUCUGCUGAUCAGGUUAGUUAUGUCCGCUUGCAACGAAAUAAUCCUUGUGGAGUACGUCAUAACUUACCUGAGGGAAAACAACAGUAAUUUAAACAGAACUUCCCCUGAAAAGUUAGUAAAGCACUUGCUGCUUAACAGCCUAAAUUCUGCCACCCUUGCAAGCAAGAAUCCUAUACAGCAACACCUUCGAUACCAUAUUAACGUUUGACUUCUAAGCAAGUGGCAGAAGUUAAAGUUUGUUAUGUUUUGUAAUGCAAGAAGCAAUUAUUCAAGGCACUGUUCCAACAGAAAUGUUUUCACAGCCUGCAAGAAGCUUUGACUCAGAUUCUGUUGGAUCAAGAAGACUAAGUCUUACGUUAUCUAUGGGAGAACAUUUAUUUUCUAAGUGUACCUGAAACGCAGCAAUAUUCAGCAGGAUAUUAGAAGCAAUGAUACAGGCAGGACUUCAAAUAAAAAGAAUGUUUAAUUAUGACACAACUUCAGAAAACCCUUUACAGUUUCUUAUUUACUGUCAGAACUACCACGAUUUGAUUGUAUCUACAGAUUACAUUCCAUGCUCUUUUAGAGCUAUAUUCUGUUUUUUAUAUUAACUUCCACUGGACUUUCAUGAAACUUCCCCUGCAAGUGGGGUAAGUUUUUUCUUUCCAUUCAAA
Molecule: long non-coding RNA, 1920 nt
Organism: Cygnus olor (mute swan)
Lineage: Eukaryota; Metazoa; Chordata; Aves; Anseriformes; Anatidae
Exons: 3
Source: RefSeq, a predicted model, not a curated record